AGAAAACCCAGAAAUUCAAGACGUGGGUUGGGUCAAACGAUGAGCAGGACAGGAGUGUGCUGUAAUUGUGCAUUACAUCCUGAGCUGCCCAGUGUUUAUCCUGACAUCUCUCAAAUGUCAAAACAUUAAGAAACUCACUACCGUACCUGCACAGAGUGAGGGUUGUGAACACUUGGAUCAAUCUACCAGAGAGCCUUGUGACAGCACAAAGUGUGAGCUCAUUCAAGAUGAGAAUUGACCAACACUGGCACAGGUACAGAUACAUCCUGGAACUAGUACAGGUACAUGCCCAAUACUGGCCAACAGUGCAUAACAGAUGUAACUGUUGUGGCUAACAAGUCAAUCCGUGGUGAAAAGGAUAAGGUUAAGUAAAGCAUUACAGUAUAGUACAUUGUGCUUGGACUAUCUGAGGGUGAUAAAUCACUUUAACAAUAAAACAUUCUGUACCAAGCAAAGGUUCCGACAGGUAUCAGCUGAAAGGCAUUUAACACUUUUAUAGAAAAAUUUUAUCCCAUUUUCUACAGGUAAAAAUUGAAGUUUAGUAAAGUCAUUGAGCACUUACAUUUUGG
Homarus americanus (American lobster) is the source of this 569-nucleotide long non-coding RNA. RefSeq lists it as uncharacterized. The record is from RefSeq and is a predicted model, not a curated record. The transcript is spliced from 3 exons. Lineage: Eukaryota; Metazoa; Arthropoda; Malacostraca; Decapoda; Nephropidae.